This 724-nucleotide unclassified non-coding RNA is filed under the name Hevea brasiliensis (rubber tree). Lineage: Eukaryota; Viridiplantae; Streptophyta; Magnoliopsida; Malpighiales; Euphorbiaceae. The record is from RNAcentral.
UUAGGGUUUGUCCUGAUAAUGGUUAAUAUUUUGACGAUGACGCUGAAAGGCAAACCCUAAACUACCAUAGUCGUGCAAAGCCGCCUCGCAUUAUCCCUUCUUAAACUUUGAAUCCCACGAAUAAAAUCAGACUUCUCUCUGCUACCCUUACAGAUUUUAUUCUCUUCUAAUUUUAAUUCCAAAAUUCUGGGAUUUUUAGGGUUUCAGUUUUUUUCUUCGGAAAGAUCGUGCAAUGGCCGGCGCAAUUUACAAUUCUGAAAACUAUACAUUACAUUGAUAGAAUAGACUCUUAAAGAAGGAUUUUAUUUUUUUAUUUUUUUUAAAGUACCUUAGAACCCGUCCUUAUUUGACGCGUGGAUAUCAAGAGCGAGGAUCGGCGGAAUCUAAGGGGCCAAAGGAUGUGUGUUUAUGGCUUUGUUCAGGUAAUCUAGAGUGGAUUACUGUGAAAAAUCUCUGGUUUUUGUUAUGGUUGAUCGUGAUGAAGAUUUCACAGCUGUGUUUUGGUUUUUCAAUUUCUUAAUUAAUUUCAAUUGGCGCAAUCGCUUUUCCUUCAUUUUAAAUUCUUUAAUUCCAGUGUUAAUGAUCUUUUGUUAACCGGAUUAGAGAGAUACAAUUGUAAAGCUGUGUUGUUACUUCAAAAUAAAAAUAAGAGGAAGAAUUCAGAGGAAGAAAGAAGAUGAUAUGCUGUAAUAAAGACUGAUUCAUCAUAUUAAGCAUAUCCAGC